GACGUAGGGCGCAAGCGUUGUCCGGAUUUAUUGGGCGUAAAGAGCUCGUAGGCGGCUUGUUGCGUCGGCUGUGAAAACCCGUGGCUUAACUGCGGGCUUGCAGCCGAUACGGGCGGGCUGGAGUUCGGUAGGGGAGACUGGAAUUCCUGGUGUAGCGGUGAAAUGCGCAGAUAUCAGGAAGAACACCUAUGGCGAAGGCAGCUCUCUGGGACGGUACUGACGCUGAGACGCGAAAGCGUGGGGAGCGAACAGG
This 253-nucleotide ribosomal RNA is filed under the name uncultured bacterium. Its description in RNAcentral is "partial 16S ribosomal RNA". It matches the Rfam family "Bacterial small subunit ribosomal RNA", at positions 524 to 776 of the family's 1533-position model. The record is from RNAcentral.